RNAcentral lists this ribosomal RNA (508 nucleotides) under uncultured bacterium. Its description in RNAcentral is "partial 16S ribosomal RNA". It matches the Rfam family "Bacterial small subunit ribosomal RNA", at positions 28 to 523 of the family's 1533-position model. The record is from RNAcentral.
GAUGAACGCUAGCUACAGGCUUAACACAUGCAAGUCGAGGGGAAACGAUAUUGGAAGCUUGCUCCCGAUAGGCGUCGACCGGCGCACGGGUGAGUAACGCGUAUCCAACCUGCCCACCACUUGGGGAUAACCUUGCGAAAGUAAGACUAAUACCCAAUGAUAUCCAUAGAAGACAUCUGAAAUGGAUUAAAGAUUUAUCGGUGAUGGAUGGGGAUGCGUCUGAUUAGCUUGUUGGCGGGGUAACGGCCCACCAAGGCGACGAUCAGUAGGGGUUCUGGGAGGAAGGUCCCCCACAUUGGAACUGAGACACGGUCCAAACUCCUACGGGAGGCAGCAGUGAGGAAUAUUGGUCAAUGGGCGAGAGCCUGAACCAGCCAAGUAGCGUGCAGGAUGACGGCCCUAUGGGUUGUAAACUGCUUUUAUAAGGGAAUAAAGUGGGAGUCGUGACUCCUUUUGCAUGUACCUUAUGAAUAAGGACCGGCUAAUUCCGUGCCAGCCGCCGCAGUAA